Molecule: non-coding RNA, 210 nt
Organism: Cinara cedri
Lineage: Eukaryota; Metazoa; Arthropoda; Insecta; Hemiptera; Aphididae
Source: the annotation of a GenBank genome assembly
CCCCCCCCCCUGUCCACUAACAACCCAACCCCCGACAUCUGUAAUACCUGAUGUAUCUAGAAUACCUCUUUUCUACCCUUACUACACACAACACACGUCGUAUAAUCGCUCACAUGUUUUGUAAGAAUACACUUUGAGUCGGAACAAAACGAGUCGCGUCGUGUGCUUUCGCGCGAUCGGUAUCAGACGUACACUAUUUUAAUAUACUUA